Molecule: ribosomal RNA, 495 nt
Filed under: uncultured bacterium
Lineage: Bacteria
Description: partial 16S ribosomal RNA
Rfam family: Bacterial small subunit ribosomal RNA
Source: RNAcentral
GAUGAACGCUGGCGGCGUGCCUAAUACAUGCAAGUCGAGCGAACAGACGAGGAGCUUGCUCCUCUGACGUUAGCGGCGGACGGGUGAGUAACACGUGGAUAACCUACCUAAGACUGGGAUAACUUCGGGAAACCGGAGCUAAUACCGGAUAACAUGUUGAACCGCAUGGUUCAACAGUGAAAGACGGUCUUGCUGUCACUUAUAGAUGGAUCCGCGCCGCAUUAGCUAGUUGGUAAGGUAACGGCUUACCAAGGCAACGAUGCGUAGCCGACCUGAGAGGGUGAUCGGCCACACUGGAACUGAGACACGGUCCAGACUCCUACGGGAGGCAGCAGUAGGGAAUCUUCCGCAAUGGGCGAAAGCCUGACGGAGCAACGCCGCGUGAGUGAAGAAGGUCUUCGGAUCGUAAAACUCUGUUAUUAGGGAAGAACAAAUGUGUAAGUAACUAUGCACGUCUUGACGGUACCUAAUCAGAAAGCCACGGCUAACUACGUG